Molecule: non-coding RNA, 285 nt
Organism: Gasterosteus aculeatus aculeatus (three-spined stickleback)
Lineage: Eukaryota; Metazoa; Chordata; Actinopteri; Perciformes; Gasterosteidae
Source: RefSeq, a predicted model, not a curated record
UGUUCUUGUCGUCAUCAUCGCUGCUGUGGUUGGAUUCAAGGUUCACAGAAAGAGGAACGCCAAACCCUCUUCUUCUUCUUCUGCUUCUACUGAGGGCUCUGAGGUCACUGAGGAACUGAAUCCUAAACCUUGAAGUCGGCGUCCUGCACACAGUUUAUGGGUGAAUGUUGCUCUGGAUCAACAAGCGAUGCUCCACAUUCUUCUCCAUAAACUGUCAAUUUAUGGCUCAUCUUUCAUUUAAACGUCUGAAUCAGGGUUGGUGAACAUCUGGAAACUGUGAGGAAA